Oreochromis aureus is the source of this 530-nucleotide long non-coding RNA. The record is from Ensembl. Lineage: Eukaryota; Metazoa; Chordata; Actinopteri; Cichliformes; Cichlidae.
GUUUGAUUUGCCCUUGGAGUCUUCAAACAGAACCCGAACUUCCUUGUGUAAAUGCUUUUGCUUCUAUAAAAGAAGCCUCAGAAAUCUGUUUUUAUACCACCUGCGAGCUGAUGUUUAUUGCCACAGCUAUCACAACAAUUCAGCUUGAUUCAUGACAGUUUUUUCUGUCAAGAAAUAAACAGUUCUACACAAGAGGAUUAUCAGGAUUAUUACGAUAAUGAUUGCAUGGUUGUUGCUGCUGUCACUCUUCGGAAAAAGUACACAAGAUGGACAAGAAAACGGUGUGUUGCGUUGUGGACCUCAGAAUGUAACUCUUGCCCACAACGAUCAGACACUCCUGUUAAAGUGGGAAGAUGACCCUUCUUGCUCUGUGAUACGAGGUGGGCUCGUGUACGAGCUGCAGGUUCUCACUGCAGACAAACCUGUACACAGUGGUGAAGUUGUUGUGACACCUGCACAGAUAGGAUCUACUCAUUCCUGGAAAUGGACUUCCCAUUUACCAUCGCAGUGUGCUCGCCAUUCAGUCCGGC